This 497-nucleotide ribosomal RNA is filed under the name uncultured bacterium. RNAcentral describes it as "partial 16S ribosomal RNA". It matches the Rfam family "Bacterial small subunit ribosomal RNA", at positions 28 to 507 of the family's 1533-position model. The record is from RNAcentral.
GAUGAACGCUGGCGGCGUGCCUAAUACAUGCAAGUCGAGCGAACAGACGAGGAGCUUGCUCCUCUGACGUUAGCGGCGGACGGGUGAGUAACACGUGGAUAACCUACCUAUAAGACUGGGAUAACUUCGGGAAACCGGAGCUAAUACCGGAUAAUAUAUUGAACCGCAUGGUUCAAUAGUGAAAGACGGUUUUGCUGUCACUUAUAGAUGGAUCCGCGCCGCAUUAGCUAGUUGGUAAGGUAACGGCUUACCAAGGCGACGAUGCGUAGCCGACCUGAGAGGGUGAUCGGCCACACGGGAACUGAGACACGGUCCAGACUCCUACGGGAGGCAGCAGUAGGGAAUCUUCGGCAAUGGGCGAAAGCCUGACGGAGCAACGCCGCGUGAGUGAUGAAGGUCUUCGGAUCGUAAAACUCUGUUAUUAGGGAAGAACAAAUGUGUAAGUAACUAUGCACGUCUUGACGGUACCUAAUCAGAAAGCAACGGCUAACUACGUG